This is a non-coding RNA of Armatimonadetes bacterium 55-13, 1510 nucleotides long. The record is from Rfam. NCBI's taxonomy places the organism in Bacteria, Bacillati, Armatimonadota.
UCUUCGGAGAGUUUGAUCAUGGCUCAGGACGAACGCUGGCGGCGUGCCUAAAACAUGCAAGUCGAACGGUGCCUUCGGGCACAGUGGCGAACGGCGGAGUAAUACAUGAACAACGUGCCCUAAAGACUGGGAUAGUCAUUGGAAACGAUGGGUAAUACCAGAUGUGACCCUCACCUGGCAUCAGGAGAGGAUUAAACGGUUUUUCGCUUUAGGAGCGGUUCAUGGCCUAUCAGGUAGUUGGUGGGGUAAUGGCCUACCAAGCCGACGACGGGUAGCGGGUCUGAGAGGAUGAUCCGCUCGAGUGGGACUGAGACACGGCCCACACACCUACGGGUGGCAGCAGUUGGGAAUCUUGCACAAUGGGGGAAACCCUGAUGCAGCGACGCCGCGUGGAGGAUGACGGAUCUAGGUCUGUAAACUCCUUUUGCACAGAAAGACUUAGGACGGUACUGUGCGAAUAAGGACCGGCUAACUACGUGCCAGCAGCCGCGGUAAGACGUAGGGUCCAAGCGUUGUCCGGAUUUACUGGGCGUAAAGAGCGCGUAGGCGGUCUGUUAAGUGUGAAGUGAAAUCUCCAGGGCUCAACCCGGAAACUGCUUCGCAUACUGGCAGACUUGAGGAAUGCAGAGGUUUGUGGAAUUCCUGGUGUAGCGGUGAAAUGCGUUGAUAUCAGGAGGAACACCCAUGGCGAAGGCAGCAAACUGGGCAUUAUCUGACGCUGAGGCGCGAAAGCGUGGGUAGCAAACAGGAUUAGAUACCCUGGUAGUCCACGCCCUAAACGAUGGAUACUAGGCGUAAGAGGUAUCGACCCCUCUUGUGCCGCAGCUAACGCAUUAAGUAUCCCGCCUGGGGAGUACGGCCGCAAGGUUGAAACUCAAAUGAAUUGACGGGGACCCGCACAAGCGGUGGAGCAUGUGGAUUAAUUCGAUACUAACCGAAGAACCAUACCCAGGUUUGACAUCGAUCGUAAGCUCUAGAGGUAGGGCCCUCCCCCACAAGGGGACGUGAAGACACUUGUUGCAUGGCUGUCGUCAGCUCGUGCCGUGAGGUGUACGGUUAAGUCCGCCAACGAGCGCAACCCUCGUCCUGUGUUACCAGCGAGUAAAGUCGGGGACUCACAGGAGACCGCCGGUGUAAGCCGGAGGAAGGUGAGGAUGACGUCAAGUCAGCAUGGCAGUUACGCCUGGGGCUUCACACAUGCUACAAUGGGCGAAACAAAGGGCAGCGAUACCGCGAGGUGGAGCCAAUCCCAAAAAUACGCCCCCAGUUCAGAUUGCAGUCUGCAACUCGACUGCAUGAAGGUGGAAUCGCUAGUAAACGCAGGUCAGCUAUACUGCGUUGAAUACGUUCCCGGGUCUUGUACACACCGCCCGUCAAGUCACCUGAAUUGUCUUCACCCGAAGUCCGUGGCCUAACCGUAAGGAAGGAGCGGCCGAAGGUGAGGGGAGUAAGGGGGACUAAGUCGUAACAAGGUACCCGUACCGGAAGGUGUGGGUGGAUCACCUCCUUA